Molecule: long non-coding RNA, 318 nt
Filed under: Trifolium pratense (red clover)
Lineage: Eukaryota; Viridiplantae; Streptophyta; Magnoliopsida; Fabales; Fabaceae
Description: long non-coding RNA (TPRA_LNC006311)
Source: RNAcentral
GAUACCAUGGAUAGUGUCUCUAAACAAUGAUUACUCUCCUCCUCCUCCUCCUUCUUCUCCAGUUUAGAUAUCACCAAUUCCCAGCAAUCGUUAGUUAAACCAUCACCACCUGCCAUUCUUUUUCUGCUGCUUGAUGUUGAUGAUGCCAUUGGAUUGGAGCGAGCCACUCUCUCUUCUUCCAGAUCCUAUCGAUCCUUUUUCUUUUUUUAAUAACAAAAACAAACACUUCUUCAUACUAUGUCUAUAUAUAUAGCUUUUAUUUCAACGACUAUAACCUAAUUUUUCGUCUUAAAAAAAUACAAAAAAAACAACCUAUAG